AUUGAACGCUGGCGGCAGGCCUAACACAUGCAAGUCGAACGGUAACAGGAAGCAGCUUGCUGCUUUGCUGACGAGUGGCGGACGGGUGAGUAAUGUCUGGGAAACUGCCUGAUGGAGGGGGAUAACUACUGGAAACGGUAGCUAAUACCGCAUAACGUCGCAAGACCAAAGAGGGGGACCUUCGGGCCUCUUGCCAUCGGAUGUGCCCAGAUGGGAUUAGCUAGUAGGUGGGGUAACGGCUCACCUAGGCGACGAUCCCUAGCUGGUCUGAGAGGAUGACCAGCCACACUGGAACUGAGACACGGUCCAGACUCCUACGGGAGGCAGCAGUGGGGAAUAUUGCACAAUGGGCGCAAGCCUGAUGCAGCCAUGCCGCGUGUAUGAAGAAGGCCUUCGGGUUGUAAAGUACUUUCAGCGGUGAGGAAGGGAGUAAAGUUAAUACCUUUGCUCAUUGACGUUACCCGCAGAAGAAGCACCGGCUAACUCCGUG
This 490-nucleotide ribosomal RNA is filed under the name uncultured bacterium. RNAcentral describes it as "partial 16S ribosomal RNA". It matches the Rfam family "Bacterial small subunit ribosomal RNA", at positions 30 to 507 of the family's 1533-position model. The record is from RNAcentral.